This 497-nucleotide ribosomal RNA is filed under the name uncultured bacterium. RNAcentral's name for it is "partial 16S ribosomal RNA". It matches the Rfam family "Bacterial small subunit ribosomal RNA", at positions 38 to 507 of the family's 1533-position model. The record is from RNAcentral.
GGGGGGGGGGGGGGGCGGGCGUGAUGGAUGCGGGUGGGGGGGGCGGGCGAGGGGCGGGCUUGUGGGAUGGUAGCGGCGGACGGGUGGGUGACACGUGGGUAACCUACCUCUAAGCCUGGGGUAAAUUCGGGACACCGGAGCUCAUACCGGAUAGUAUUUUGAACCGCAUGGUUCACAAGUGAAGGACGGUCUUGCUGUCAAUUAUCGAUGGAGCCGCGCUGCAUGUGCGAGUUGGUAAGGUAACGGCUUACCAAGGCAACGAUGCAGAACCGACCUGCGCGGGUACUCUGCCACACUGGACCUGAUACCCGGUCCAGACUCCUACGGGAGGCAGCAUGAGGGAAUCUUCCCCAAUGGGCGAAAGCCGGACGGAGCAACGCCGCGUGAGUGAUGAAGGUCUUCGGAUCUUAAAACUCUGUUAGUAGGUAAGAACAUAGGUGUAAGUAACUGUGCACAUCUUGACGGUACCUAAUCAGAAAGCCACGGCUAACUACGUG